UCGAGCGACUGAUUAGAAGCUUGCUUCUAUGACGUUAGCGGCGGACGGGUGAGUAACACGUGGGCAACCUGCCUGUAAGACUGGGAUAACUUCGGGAAACCGAAGCUAAUACCGGAUAGGAUCUUCUCCUUCAUGGGAGAUGAUUGAAAGAUGGUUUCGGCUAUCACUUACAGAUGGGCCCGCGGUGCAUUAGCUAGUUGGUGAGGUAACGGCUCACCAAGGCAACGAUGCAUAGCCGACCUGAGAGGGUGAUCGGCCACACUGGGACUGAGACACGGCCCAGACUCCUACGGGAGGCAGCAGUAGGGAAUCUUCCGCAAUGGACGAAAGUCUGACGGAGCAACGCCGCGUGAGUGAUGAAGGCUUUCGGGUCGUAAAACUCUGUUGUUAGGGAAGAACAAGUACGAGAGUAACUGCUUGUACCUUGACGGUACCUAACCAGAAAGCCACGGCUAACUACGUGCCAGCAGCCGCGGUAAUACGUAGGUGGCAAGCGUUAUCCGGAAUUAUUGGGCGUAAAGCGCGCGCAGGCGGUUUCUUAAGUCUGAUGUGAAAGCCCACGGCUCAACCGUGGAGGGUCAUUGGAAACUGGGGAACUUGAGUGCAGAAGAGAAAAGCGGAAUUCCACGUGUAGCGGUGAAAUGCGUAGAGAUGUGGAGGAACACCAGUGGCGAAGGCGGCUUUUUGGUCUGUAAACUGACGCUGAGGCGCGAAAAGCGUGGGGAGCAAACAGGAUUAGAUACCUGGUUAGUCCACGCCGUAAACGAUGAGUGCUAAGUGUUAGAGGGUUUCCGCUCUUUAGUGCUGCAGCUAACGCAUUAAGCACUCCGCCUGGGGAG
Molecule: ribosomal RNA, 839 nt
Filed under: Priestia megaterium
Lineage: Bacteria; Bacillati; Bacillota; Bacilli; Caryophanales; Bacillaceae
Description: bacterial SSU rRNA
Rfam family: Bacterial small subunit ribosomal RNA
Source: RNAcentral